AUUGAACGCUGGCGGCAUGCCUUACACAUGCAAGUCGAACGGUAACAGGUCUUCGGAUGCUGACGAGUGGCGCACGGGUGCGUAAUACAUCGGAACGUGCCCGAUCGUGGGGGAUAACGAGGCGAAAGCUUUGCUAAUACCGCAUACGAUCUACGGAUGAAAGCGGGGGAUCUUCGGACCUCGCGCGGACGGAGCGGCCGAUGGCAGAUUAGGUAGUUGGUGGGAUAAAAGCUUACCAAGCCGACGAUCUGUAGCUGGUCUGAGAGGAUGAUCAGCCACACUGGGACUGAGACACGGCCCAGACUCCUACGGGAGGCAGCAGUGGGGAAUUUUGGACAAUGGGCGAAAGCCUGAUCCAGCCAUGCCGCGUGCAGGAUGAAGGCCUUCGGGUUGUAAACUGCUUUUGUACGGAACGAAAAGCCUCUUUCUAAUAAAGAGAGGUCAUGACGGUACCGUAAGAAUAAGCACCGGCUAACUACGUG
RNAcentral lists this ribosomal RNA (482 nucleotides) under uncultured bacterium. RNAcentral describes it as "partial 16S ribosomal RNA". It matches the Rfam family "Bacterial small subunit ribosomal RNA", at positions 30 to 507 of the family's 1533-position model. The record is from RNAcentral.